RNAcentral lists this ribosomal RNA (195 nucleotides) under uncultured bacterium. Its description in RNAcentral is "partial 16S ribosomal RNA". It matches the Rfam family "Bacterial small subunit ribosomal RNA", at positions 1308 to 1500 of the family's 1533-position model. The record is from RNAcentral.
CAACUCGACUACAUGAAGCUGGAAUCGCUAGUAAUCGCGAAUCAGCAUGUCGCGGUGAAUACGUUCCCGGGUCUUGUACACACCGCCCGUCACACCAUGGGAGUUGGUAACGCCCGAAGCCAGUGACCCAACCGGAAACGGAGGGAGCUGUCGAAGGUGGGACCGAUAACUGGGGUGAAGUCGUAACAAGGUAGC